This 411-nucleotide long non-coding RNA is filed under the name Fukomys damarensis (Damara mole-rat). Its description in RNAcentral is "lncRNA (ENSFDAG00000028590.1)". The record is from RNAcentral. Lineage: Eukaryota; Metazoa; Chordata; Mammalia; Rodentia; Bathyergidae.
AUUUAUUUUCAUACCUCUUCAAAGGUAUUGUUAGCUUUCUUUCCUGUUUAAUUUUUUCCUACAUAGUCACUUUUCUCCUGUAAGAUUUUUAUUUCUUCCAUUUUAUUUUGCUCUUCCUGUGGUAUUUUCUCACCUUGACUGUCUGCUUAUAUUUACAAAGGAAGAACUCCACGUUCGUAUCAUGGACUGUGCUGAAGAGUAGUGCUGGUGUGUACUUUGGGCUUGGUAAACACCGAUCUCAGGGCCCUACCGCCAAUGUUUCUGACUCGAGGUGAGAUGACCUAGUGAGCCCCCAGCUUCACCAAGGAGACCAAAAGUCCAAGACAACAUGAAGAGAGUGGUGAGCUACGUCAGCGCUGGCCUCUUUUCUACCCCAAGAGGAGGUAGGUGAUAAAAGAAUGCAAUACAUAC